Molecule: long non-coding RNA, 2119 nt
Organism: Haliaeetus leucocephalus (bald eagle)
Lineage: Eukaryota; Metazoa; Chordata; Aves; Accipitriformes; Accipitridae
Exons: 6
Source: RefSeq, a predicted model, not a curated record
CCACACAUCUGUAAUGAUCCAUCAGUAGAAAAAAAAAAAAUUUCGGAGCUGCUGUUGGACUAAAUCACCAAGUGCUGGCAAGCUGCCGGGGUCCUGUUGCUGGGAAGAUCACCAGGUGUUGGCCCGUCACUGACAGCCACUGCUCCAUUACCAGCUGCUCACACAGCAAAAACCUACGGGACGGCAGAAUCACCCUUCCUUCCUUCUCCAAACUCAAGACAACUGUCUCCUUGAUGAGGCCGUGGGAUUAUAGCUGACCUCACUACAGGACAGCAUGGGGCUUCAUAAGACAAAUUGCCACUUUUUCUCAGCCCUCCAACUUCUUCAGCGUCUUCUCCCAAACCUUGACAUUCCCACUAUUGUUUAAUUUUUUUUAAUAAUCUUGUUUAUCUGAAAAAAACUAAUAGUUUAUUUCAACUUUGAAAAAUUACUUUCCUUUACAUUUGUUCCUAGGUUUUUUUUUUUCUUUUUCCCUUUCUUCAGCUUCAGCGGCUAGCUUCUUUGGCCAAUGGAUGAUACAGUGAAUUGCCUGAAUCUAUGACGUGUCCGUGAAUACCAUUUCCCUAGAUUGUAACACCAGCCCAAUUCUUUGGCUCUGCUGGAAGCUAUCCUAAGAGAUGACGGGGGAAUGAUGGGUGAGCCAGCCAGCCUGCAGGCUGAGUCACUCCAGGAAGGCAGACCGUCAGCUGGCAAUUAGGAUGGAGAAGAAGAAAGCGUGCCAGCAAAACAGACUACUUGACAGCGGCCUCGGGAACACCUUGUGGAACUAGAGCACUCAGCUCAUCCUCCAUCAUUACAGCCUUGCAGAGAGGGAUGGAUGGCUGCAUCUGGGAAUGCAUCUGAGUAAUAGACUGGUUCACUUUGAACCAGUGUUCAAAGGGUGUAAAACAAGGAGCUAGCAGGGAGCACAGGAUGUGUUUGGUGUGCGUUCGCUGAAUGGGAGCUCCCAAGAAUCCUCCACAAAGUGAUCCAGUGGAGACCAGCGUGUGUGAAGAAGAGGAUGCUCAUUAGAGAUCUUAAGAAGACCCACCUCACAGGAAUGACAGUGAUCAAUCCCAACCGUGUCUACUAGAAACACCAAUGAAUGACAGAGAGGAAUGGAAGACGCUAGCUUCCACUUCAUGUCCCAGCCUUGCUAUUGGAAGGAGACAGUAAGAAUAAUCUCUGCUCUUGUGCAGGCUAUCGGUUGGGUGGAGCAGCCGCAAGCCUUAAGAACAGCUAAGACUCAUCAACAAGAAAAAAGGAUAGAAAAAUGAAAACAAGCUGGAAAGAGAUGAAUUUCACCAUGAUAUACCUCAUUUUCCUCAGCAGACUGAGAACUGCAGAAUUAGCACAGAUUUCUGCUACUUGAGCUAAUGGAGUGCCACUACCAGUCACAGGUUGUCAUCCUCUGAGUAAAACACUUCCAGAAGAGGCUCGCUGAUGGGCACUGAUGAGAAACACGAAGUGAGGAUUUGCUUCUCAGCUGGGGUGACAAGUAAUCAGGUAGAUGUGUACUCCAGAUGUAAGCUAACCUGCUGUGUCUCCUUCGGCUGCUCACCAUCCUUGUCCUUUGCCUUUCCCACUUCAUCCCAGACUCGGUCUCCUCCUACAGCAAGUCACUGUGGAUCCCAGCUCCUGAUCUCCCAAUCUGAUUACCUCUUUGCUCAUUCCCAGUAUGACAUUCUUUGCUCCCAUUCUACUUGGCUGGACCACCCUAACUCCCCGACCACUCCUCCUGACCGUGUUCCUCAUCUAGCACAGCUCUGGGAUCCAGUAUAUCUGUCUGAGAUUUUCUCCAUGGUGCAUUUGAACAACUCCAUCCUCUGUACUCUUGAGUUGAACAACAGGCCUGCUGGGACCAGAGGAAGGCAGAGCCCUGCUUUCCAUUUGGGUGCCUAGACCUCUUACAGCUCAUGCUAGCAGAUGCCUAUCCAUAGCAAAUGGGACCUUAGGAAAGUUUGCUGUCAAAAUCAAAGUCAUCUUUAUCAAAAAAGUGCACCAUGACUUUUCAUACACUUAUUUCAUGAGUGUCCUAGUUUCAGCUGAGGUAGAGUUAAUCAUCUUCCUAGUAGCUGCUAUGUUUUUGAGUUUGGUAUGAGAAGAAUGUUGAUAACACUGAUGUUUUCAGUUGUUGCUA